UGAACGCUGGCGGCGUGCCUAACACAUGCAAGUCGAACGAAGCAUACGGACCGGAGAUUCGUCGAAGGACCGUAUGACUUAGUGGCGGACGGGUGAGUAAUGUAUGAGCAACCUGCCUUUCAGAGGGGGACAACAGUUGGAAACGACUGCUAAUACCGCGUAACGUGUCGUGAGGGCAUCCUCGUGAUACCAAAGGAGCAAUCCGCUGAAAGAUGGGCUCAUAUCUGAUUAGCUUGUUGGCGGGGUAACGGCCCACCAAGGCGACGAUCAGUAGCCGGACUGAGAGGUUGAACGGCCACAUUGGGACUGAGAUACGGCCCAGACUCCUACGGGAGGCAGCAGUGGGGAAUAUUGGGCAAUGGGCGAAAGCCUGAACCCCAGCAACGCCGCGUGAAGGAAGAAGGUCUUCGGAUUGUAAACUUCUUUUAUGAGGACGAAGGACGUGACGGUACCUCAUGAAUAAGCCACGGCUAACUACGUGCCAGCAGCUGC
This 492-nucleotide ribosomal RNA is filed under the name uncultured bacterium. RNAcentral describes it as "bacterial SSU rRNA". It matches the Rfam family "Bacterial small subunit ribosomal RNA", at positions 30 to 518 of the family's 1533-position model. The record is from RNAcentral.